CCGACUCCGGGGAGCCCCUGGCUGCUUCCCAGAGCUGGGUUGGGAAGGGGACCUUAGCCCGCUGCCGCCUCCGAGCGGACCGCCAGGUGCAUUCUUUUCUGGAUGUUUCACGUGACCACAUCAUACAGUAUGUGGCUUCUCUAACCUAGCAUGGCUACUCUCUGGGAGUUCAUUCGGACUGUAGCAUGGACCAGUAUUUUACUCCUCAUGCUACUGAACAACAAUAUUCCAUUGUACAGAUAGACUGCACUUUAUUUAUCCACCCACCAGUCGACGGACAUGUGGGUUGUUUCCAAGUUUAUAAUGCCGCUGUGAGCACCUACAAUCAAGUCUGUGUGGACACGGGCUUUCAUUUCUCUUGGCUUCGUUCUGGGAAACAGAGGACUCCCGUGCAAACGUCAAUGGAAAGACGGCAGGUGCUCACUCACACGGCAGAAAUGCGCCCAGAAGCCGACAGACGCCGGUGAACAGGUCUCCAGCAGGGUCGCUGCACCCUGGCUUGGUGGCCUGCCCAGGGAUUCUCCCCCAGGAGCUCAAGCUCAAGAGGGGCGCCGCGGAUAGUUGGCAGAGCUGGGGUAUCCGCUCCCCUCUCCCAGUUUCCCUCCCCUCACGGGGAAUCCCCAGAGGGCAUCUCACCACAGGUUCCUAAUUCUUUUAGAUGAUCGAAUCUGCAUCCAAGGAGCUAAAACUAUUUGUUGUUUUAUUACCAUUGGGUCUUAUUCCUUGAGACCUGGGCAGGCUGGCGGGUAUUUGUCCUUCACUACCUUUGUCAAUCCUUUGAGGUAGGGAAGUAGUCAUCCCCGUAUUACAGAUAAGAUUCAGACGUCAGCAACAUACCUGAGAGACUGCCUGUCCCAGAAGAGGCAGAACCAGGAUUUGAACCCAGAUGAUUGGCCUCUAUAGUGGGAGCUCUUGACCACCACCAGCCCAGUUGGGGACAGUAGCCCAGGUCCUAGAAACCCUCAGAUUCUGCCCUCGCCAGAGGGUCCCAAGAGGCUUUAUGGAUAUUGAAUCUUUGCCAACUGGACCUUUUUACCCUCAUGGUUUUAUUAUGAAACUUGUCGAGCAUAAAGAAAGUUGAGCCCUGGCUGGUGUAGCUCAGUGGAUUGAGUGCAGGCCUACGAACCACACAAUUGUGGUUCGAUUCCCAGCCAGGACACAUGCCUGGGUUGCAGGCCAGUUCCCAGCAGGGGAUGCACGAAAGGCAACCAUACAUUGAUGUUUCUCUCCCUCUCUCCUUCCCUUCCUCUCUAAAGAUAAAUAAAAUAAAAUAAGAAAACUGAAAUAAUUAUGCAGUGAACAAACAUUCCUAAGAACAGGGCACAAUGAUAACGCCCGUAUUUUUUUUUUUUUUUGGCCCUGAUACUGACAUAGUACUAUUCAUAGUAACAGUUUGUUCAGUCUUCCAAAUUCCUAAAACAAAAUAAAGGUAGUGGAAUGAGCCCUGACUAGUGUGGCUCAGCCGGGCAUUGUCCCACAAAGCAAAGGGUCACCAGUUCGAUCCCUGGUCAGGGCACAUGUCUGGGUUGCGGGCUGAGUCCCCAAUCGGGACAUGAGCAACAAGCAGCCCAGCGAUUUGACUCUCACACGUCAAUGUUUCUCUCUCUCUCCCUGUCUUCCCCUCUCUCUAAAAAGAAAUAAAUAAAAUCUUUUUUAAAAAGUUAGUGAAAUGACAUUUUAAGUACUAAAGUGUGGAAAUAUCACAUCAAGUACAAUUACAUUGAUAAAUAUCUGAGUUAUACAUUAUUCUAAUAACAGCUGAUAAAAUUUUAACAUCUAUAAAGUU
Molecule: long non-coding RNA, 1786 nt
Organism: Artibeus jamaicensis (Jamaican fruit-eating bat)
Lineage: Eukaryota; Metazoa; Chordata; Mammalia; Chiroptera; Phyllostomidae
Exons: 3
Source: RefSeq, a predicted model, not a curated record